Molecule: ribosomal RNA, 482 nt
Filed under: uncultured bacterium
Lineage: Bacteria
Description: partial 16S ribosomal RNA
Rfam family: Bacterial small subunit ribosomal RNA
Source: RNAcentral
AUUGAACGCUGGCGGCAGGCCUAACACAUGCAAGUCGAGCGGAUGAAGGGAGCUUGCUCCUGGAUUCAGCGGCGGACGGGUGAGUAAUGCCUAGGAAUCUGCCUGGUAGUGGGGGAUAACGUCCGGAAACGGGCGCUAAUACCGCAUACGUCCUGAGGGAGAAAGUGGGGGAUCUUCGGACCUCACGCUAUCAGAUGAGCCUAGGUCGGAUUAGCUAGUUGGUGGGGUAAAGGCCUACCAAGGCGACGAUCCGUAACUGGUCUGAGAGGAUGAUCAGUCACACUGGAACUGAGACACGGUCCAGACUCCUACGGGAGGCAGCAGUGGGGAAUAGUGGACAAUGGGCGAAAGCCUGAUCCAGCCAUGCCGCGUGUGUGAAGAAGGUCUUCGGAUUGUAAAGCACUUUAAGUUGGGAGAAAGGGCAGUAAGUUAAUACCUUGCUGUUUUGACGUUACAAACAGAAUAAGCACCGGCUAACUUCG